This 524-nucleotide ribosomal RNA is filed under the name uncultured Phenylobacterium sp. RNAcentral describes it as "bacterial SSU rRNA". It matches the Rfam family "Bacterial small subunit ribosomal RNA", at positions 355 to 897 of the family's 1533-position model. Lineage: Bacteria; Pseudomonadati; Pseudomonadota; Alphaproteobacteria; Caulobacterales; Caulobacteraceae. The record is from RNAcentral.
UAGGGAAUCUUGCGCAAUGGGCGAAAGCCUGACGCAGCCAUGCCGCGUGAAUGAUGAAGGUCUUAGGAUUGUAAAAUUCUUUCACCGGGGAAGAUAAUGACGGUACCCGGAGAAGAAGCCCCGGCUAACUUCGUGCCAGCAGCCGCGGUAAUACGAAGGGGGCUAGCGUUGCUCGGAAUUACUGGGCGUAAAGGGCGCGUAGGCGGACAGUUUAGUCAGAGGUGAAAGCCCAGGGCUCAACCUUGGAAUUGCCUUUGAUACUGGCUGUCUUGAGUUCGGGAGAGGUGAGUGGAAUGCCGAGUGUAGAGGUGAAAUUCGUAGAUAUUCGGCGGAACACCAGUGGCGAAGGCGACUCACUGGCCCGAUACUGACGCUGAGGCGCGAAAGCGUGGGGAGCAAACAGGAUUAGAUACCCUGGUAGUCCACGCUGUAAACGAUGAGUGCUAGUUGUCGGCAUGCAUGCAUGUCGGUGACGCAGCUAACGCAUUAAGCACUCCGCCUGGGGAGUACGGUCGCAAGAUUAA